Molecule: long non-coding RNA, 1830 nt
Organism: Mauremys reevesii (Reeves's turtle)
Lineage: Eukaryota; Metazoa; Chordata; Testudines; Geoemydidae
Exons: 2
Source: RefSeq, a predicted model, not a curated record
CUUUUCUUCUGAUACAGUCUGGAAUGUACAUUGGAUGGAAAUGCCAGUCGCUUCUCCACACAGGGGUUAGCAUAUCCAUCUUAUCCAUCCCCGCCAGUCUGCCCUGGGAAACGUGCGGGCACUGAGCUUAAAGCCAAGAUGCUUGUUGCUAUGGCAUGAGCAGAGCUGUCUCAUUAACCCCUGCCUCCUUAUGAAGCCCUGCACUGGGGCUAAUUGCUUCCCGGGGCUGGGAAGCUGGCUGCAGCCAAUCCCCCUCAAGGGGUGAACUCGUCAUCUCUUAAGAGCUAAGCAGGGUGGGGCUGGAUAGCCUUCGAAUAGGAGACAGCUGGAGGAAGCACAAGUCGAACUGGCGGGGCUGUUGGUGCUACAUUAAGCGGUGCCCUGGUCUCGGAGUCAGCCCCAAUAGAGCACUAGGGUGGUGCUGUGCUGCUGCUCUGUGGCCAUUUUGAUGAGGUGAGACAAGGUCGUGAGGUAAUAACGUGUAUUGGACCAACUUCUGUUGGGGAGAGAGGCCAGCUUUCAAGCUCCACAGAGCUCUUCUCCUUUUUCAUCUCAGUUCUGAUGACAAGUGAGGCUCUGACCACUUCUGAACAGUACCCUGGGAUCAUCAGUGACCACAAGAAGAGAGGGAAGCCUCCUUGCCCUGGCCCCACUGCAACUUCUUUCCUUUACAUGCUGCUUCCCAAUUUCAUUCUACGACUUUCCAUUGAGCGCAAAAUUCCACUUGGCCUCCUGUCCUGAACUUGCUUGCAAUGGUGCUGUUCUCAUGGAUUACAAGGCCAGAAGGGAUUGCUGUGAUCAUCCCAUCUGACUUCCUGUAUUACACAGGCCACAGAACUUCCCUGAAUUACUUCCUGCGUGAGCUAGACUAGAUCUUUCCAAAACACCUUCAAUCAGGAUUUAAAUCUCACCCUGCUAAAUAGCUCUUGCACUUCACUCAUGGUGACAGACAUGUGCCUGUCUACCUACCACCCGUAAUAAAGUUCGCUCAGCAGCAAACAUUAUAGCGAAGAUGCAAACGUGUUUAGUUUCUAGUCUCCCCUGCUCCAUAGCUUUCUGAAAAAUUCUCCUUUUCUGACCGUUUUUCCUUGCUCAGUCUCAGUCAAAAGUUGAGUGAAUUUAAAAGGGUUUGAGCAAAAGUCAUUCAGCCGUUUCUGAGUUAAAUUAAAAACCAAAUGUUUUUCCCACUGGAAAAAUGUCCCUUCAACUUCCCUCAACGGUUAUCUGAACAACAAACAACAACAACCUAUUGAUCUUGGCCGCAGGAACCUUAAUUUUUGCAUUUUCUGAUUUCUAAGAUGUUAAUAGUGCGAACUUAACAUUGUGUUAAGAUAGCCUUUCAUCGUUAUCGUUAUAUGUUGCAUUGCAGAAUCAAGGAAAACGGCCAUGUUGUGCUAGGCAAGGCAAAAAACGAAGAGUAAGAUGACAAUCCCUGCCCCAGACAGCUCACAGUCUAGGUUUCUGACAAGAUGUGACAGGUGUAUGAAACAGACAAAUGGGGAGGAAGUGACAGUAACAUGAGCACCUUUUCCAUAAUAGACAGUAGUGCCAGCUUGCUGCCUGCCUAGCUGUUGUUAUUAAUGCACAUCCAUCCAUCCAUCCAUCCAGAUUGGUAGUAUCAGCUGUAAGGCACUUUGUGACUCACUGAGAUGAAAGGUGCUAGGCAUAUAUCAGACUAGCAUGUCUGGGUUUAGCUGGGGGUGUCUCCCCCUUUUUCCUCGAGGCCUGCAGAAGGCUAAAGAAAGUUCUGGAAGCAUCUGGAAAGCAAUUCCCUUUGUUUUUCUCAAUGAGCUCCACUCCAGUUCAUUAAAUGCCACUUGAUCCAUAAAA